This 276-nucleotide ribosomal RNA is filed under the name Triticum aestivum (bread wheat). RNAcentral's name for it is "partial small subunit ribosomal RNA". Lineage: Eukaryota; Viridiplantae; Streptophyta; Magnoliopsida; Poales; Poaceae. The record is from RNAcentral.
AUGGCUUCGUCGAGGAUGGCCGUGCUGCUGUUCUUGGUUUGCACUCUGGGUGUCGCUAGGAAGAUGGAAGCGGCAAGGAUGAUGCAGAAAGGUGAUGUUGUGGUGGGUAAUGGAGGAGGCGGUGGCGGUGGCGGUAAUGCGCUGCAGCACGGGCUCGUCGACGACGCGCCGUCGAGCCAGGCCGCUGGUGGAGACGACGCCGAUAGGGAGGUGCCAGGCGGGCCGGACCCGAUACACCACCAUGGCAGCGUGCCGCCAACUUCGGUCGCUCCAUAG